This is a long non-coding RNA of Cygnus atratus (black swan), 2095 nucleotides long. RefSeq lists it as uncharacterized. The transcript has 3 exons. The record is from RefSeq and is a predicted model, not a curated record. NCBI's taxonomy places the organism in Eukaryota, Metazoa, Chordata, Aves, Anseriformes, Anatidae.
AAAUCCCCGGCCUGAGGGACUCUUUUAAAAGCCAGGAGAAACACAGUUGCUGAGAAGGAUUACCACCUCUUUGCUUUUAGCUUGGGCCCCCGGGACACGGGCUAAACAACUUGCCCAAGGUAAUGCAGGAGUCUGGAGGAAAGCCCAGCAACCCACAUCCAUAAUGCCGUAACCCUUUCCUUCCUGCUGGGACGUGCCUGCUGUGCAUCCUUCAGGCCAGGGCUGGCACCCCAGCCGCUGCAGCCAGCUGCUCGGUGAGCACCCUGCCCUGCAAGGUCAAUAGGCACAGGAAGGUGUACGAUGGAGGGAGUGGUAACGGGACUGAGCCACGUUUACUUGGUUUUUGUAAUUAACACUCAUUUAUCUGGGAAAUUACUCUUGGGAUUUACAGUAUUCGGUAAAUGUGAGUUGUUGGGAAAAUGGGCAGUAAACUUAGCUGUAAUCCUCAAGAAAAAAAAAAUCUAAAGAACAGUUAGCAGCCUCUCCAUGGCAUUGCAGGAUAUUGUAUCCACAGUGUUGCCAUCUUCUACUGUGCCAGACAAAUUUCUCCAUCGUUUCUCUUUCACUUUAGCUGGUGUAAUUUGGUGUAACGUAUAGAGGUCUGCAACGCUGUAGAGUCACAGCUGCCUGGAAAACUUGAAAAAAGAAAGGGCUAUAAAUUCUUUAAAGGAGGAAGAAUCCAUCUCUACCUUCAGAAGCGUAACUUACUGGUUCUCUCUGCGGGAGCCAUACUUCACUGCCCUUCAGCUCUUGCCAUGUCAGUCUCAGCCAAGCCCCCACAUCACUGGGGUGAGGGAUGCUGCUCUGGGCUUUCUCUGCAAAGAACUGAUGAAGCUUAAUCACAUAUUUCCAGAAGUGUCACCUCUUCUCUUAGCCUCUGGCAACCUGCCUGGCUUGACUGGCUUCUACAAAUCUCACUCAUAGGAUAAAUCAAACACCUCUACUCAGGAUCAAUUUUCCUUUUUAAAGAGAAUUAGCUGCUCUUCAGUGCCACUGAUAUAGUCACGGAACUUUCGCUGACAUUGUGGGCAGAGAUCUUAAGAAAAAUCACCCCAAAAGUCAUCACUGGAGAAAAGUGGAGAUGGAAAGGGAAUGUCUGACUGUAUGUGGGUUCUGCACUACUGUAGAUGGUAUGACUUUGUUUGUUCUGAUCUUCCCCUGAACGAUGGCGGUAGGUGUUAUGUUUGGCAUCAAAAGGCAGUUUAAUGCAAAAACAGUUGAAGGUAGUGGGUCACCAGUCCUUUGCCUUGCUUUACUUUGGAUAUGGACACUUGUCCUAUUUCUAAGUAGGUAGUUAGCAGCUUGCAAUGCUGAGGUUCUUUUUUAACUUGUAAAAAUAAAUAGUAUUUGUCAAUGACUUGUGAUCCUGAUGGGCUUUCUCAUGGUUAGGCUCCCCACAGAAGGACAAUAAAUGAUUGCAGCAGGAGUUUUAUACGCACAGCAGAAUUUUAUAAACAUGUUAGUUGUCUAGGCAUGGCUAAAAGAUGCUGUGGAUUCCUUCAUUAUGAAGUUCAAAACUGAUGUCUGUAAAGGUCAUGGACCUGUUGGCUAAUUGAGAUCUAGAUGUCACGGUGACAUAACUAGCCUGGAAAGAAAGCUGUUAAAGAAAGAUGUGCUAAAGGGCCCAUCCACAUCAUUUUUUAUGCUGUAAAAAGUUGGAAGGAUGCAUCAGAUGCCAUCAAUUUAAUGAAAUGUUUACAAGCAAUUAUCAGUUGCAUCCAUUUAUUUAGACUGCUUGCUUCUACCACAAAUAAACUGUUACCCUCAUUCCAUUCCUUUUCUUGUUACGCAUGUAAAACUUUCACUUAGCUGGCAACUCAUUUUUAUUGAAUCUUGAGGUCCCAAGAGACAGAUUUGGAACAUGUUUACUGCAGGGAAAACCAGCAGGACUUUGCUGACUUCACUGAAGUAACUGAGAUCAAAAAUCUUCUUCAAGGAGACCCCUUGCAUAUAAAUGCAGUUUGAAAAAAAAAACGCAUACAGAUAAAUGAGUAGAGAAAGGGUUGUUGUAGUAAUGACAUGCAUUCAACUUUCUAAAACUUCUGAUGAUAGAAAAUAUUUUAAACUAAUGGGCUCCCUUCAAUCAAUUUCUGUU